CUCAGAAAAUCUUACACUGAAGGCAACAGCAACUUUACACGGCUAAGGACUGAGUGAAUGAGACUUUCAAGCUGGAGACUGGGAUAAGUAAUAAAGGUUCCUCUCACACAACUUCUGAGAAAUAGAGCCAAAACUGAGAUGCCAAACUGCUGGUGUGAUACAGUGUGCUUGGGAGGCACCAGCCAGCCUUGGAGCAUGAGGGUCAAGGUGACAGGACCAGUGGGGUCUUGAUUGCAGGCUCGUGACCGUGCCCUUACAGCACAAGAGCUGCAGCAGUGACAGUCCAAGGAUAAAAGAGGAAAUAUUUUUUAUUAGACUGAUUAAUACAAUUGAAAAAAGUGGAUAAACAUUUGGGUUUAAGAUAAGGGGAUUCUGAGCCCAAAACCUUGCCUGAGUUUACUGGUAAGAUCAGGUCAAGGUCUUACGGGCCCCCAAAGAUCUGUAAGACCUUGACCAGAUCUUAUCAGGAGCCUAACAGACUCCUAAAACACAGUCUGCUAAGCCCAGCAAGCACAUCAGUAAUGCAAGGUUUCAAGUGGGAUCCAAAAAGGCACUUUAGUACCUGAAGCAGGACUUGGACAGGUCAGAGGUACCUCGGUAAAAACCUGUGAUCCAAGAGACCCCACUCAGCUGGUAUUGAGGGCUGGGGGUGCUCACCUUUGAAUUUUAAUUUUCACUGAGGAACUUGAAGUUAUGUUUCCUUGUGUAGCAAACCUUCUGACCCUGUAACAGAGAAGCUGGUGCACUUUGGGAGGUGGGAAGAUGUAGAGUGGAAACCUUUAGAGCCUGCAUUAUAAAUGGAGCAAAAUGAACCCUGCUUGGUUCAGAUGGCAGGUGCCUCUCCUCAGGACAUUAACCUGGGAUGUGCCUCUGCUCUGAAAAAAUUGGGAGUUUGCACCAACCUGUGUGUUCAGCAUUGGUUACCAUGAGACAGCCACCUCCUUGAAACAAUGCAAUGGUGUAGAGGAAGAUGUAAGUGCAUGGUGCCAGCUCCUGGAUGCUGCUAUAAGGUUCAGGUGCUACUUUCUAAGUGUGGAAGUCUUCAGUUUGUCCUGUUUUUAGCCAGGAACCACAAUCCACAGGCAAAAUCAGGGAGAAAAGAGAACUGAAAAAAAAGCUGAGUGUAUCCUCUUUCAGAAGCGUUUUACUAAUUAUGGACCUAUUCCAGGAGAUUUCCUACAGAUUUGCUGCAACUUCAGUGUUAUUAACCUAUUUUUCUCCUCUGGAGCUGUGCUCCUCCAUCCUUAAAUUAGCUUGUGACUUAACAAAGCGUUUAAGCAUGUGCAACUUUAUCCAUGGAAAGGUUUCCACUGACUUCAGCAGAACCACUCGGGUGUUGGAGGCAGCGUUGGUGCCUCAGUGAUCUGCUGGAGCCGCCUUACACGCCAGGGACAGUGUCAUACAUAAUACUUAGAUUGAAUGGGAGGGGAAGAGGGAGCAUUUCUAACAUGAUUACAGUCAGAUUUCCUUUUAUGUUCUGCAGAGGAAAAUAGUAUGCAAAUACUCCACGUGCCUACACGGAUUCAAAAUUCCUUUCCUCUUUUUUUUGAUCUCCCUAAUUCUGACAAACAAGUUGCCCACGGUUUCUGAAGAGAAACUCUCCCCGAGGCGUUGGGCCACGGGCAUUUUUUGAGGGGCACAGUGGAUCUAGGCAGACCCCUGUUUGCCUGCUUCUGGCUACACUUUCCCACUCCAGCACUCUUCCUCCAGUUGCACCUCAGUGGAGAUGAGGUGAAUUGUGUCUGGGAACUAAGCCAGGAUAAAAAUAACUGAGGUGGGGAGGGUGCUAUUUUUUUAAGCAGUUUCCUGGUCUGUUUGUCAACACAACGGCACAAAGAGCUGCACCAGCACAGCAGAGGAAGAAUAACCUGACUGGUCCAUCAAAGUGCUGCCACCAAAAAGGGUGUCUGCAAAAUGCAGCUGUAUCUCCUCGGCAUUGCUGCACCAGCAGAGUGGAAAGUCCUUUGGGAAGUCCAUAGUGUCCUGCCCAGCUCCAGCUUGUGCUGUGCAUUCCUGUCUCUGUGCUGGAUCCUGCUGCCCCCUCUGCCGUGCUGACAUACCUCUUUGUGUGCCCACAUCUCAAUCAAAGCCUGGGAGCAAUCCAGAUUGAGCCAAAGUAUUCUUCUUCUGGGCUAACCUUCAUCUGGUUCCCAGCUCCAGCUCCAGCACACACACCGUGCCAGCCUGGCACAGGGGAUUGCACACAAGGGAAAGAGGAGGGUCACCAGGCCAAACUUGUUUGGUCAGAUUACAGAGCAGACAUAACUUGGAGUAUCCAAACAAAAUUAGUUUAUACAGCCCUCACUACCCAUCAGAGUUAACACUUUAUCCAGCUUGGGUAUUACCAAACAAGUUAUGUUUCUUUAAAAAGGAGCCUGUGCAGCAGUGAGGUAAAAUGUUAGGACUUAACAAAAGAGGAGAUUUAAUCCAUGAAAUACUUCAUCAUUCAUGGCUGGGCUUCGUGAACAAAGAUUUGGGAAGGGCUCUACCCACGUUUGUUGCGAAUCCAUGAAAGAGAUAGCAGCUAACAAGCAAGCUCUAAGCUCUAAGCUUUCUAACACAUGUCCAUGUGUUAGAAAAAAAGAACAACCAAAAAAAACCCCACCAAAUUAAAGUUUAGGGCUCUCAGACCUGGGGGAGGAAGUAUGGCUUGGGAUAUACCAUCGAUAAUGAACACGAAAGAAUGCAGAAUUUAUGGCCAACCAGGACAUUUGGCAGGACUCCCAAGACAAGGAAGAAACUAAUAAAACCAACUCAGUAAUUGUGCUGAAAUCAGCUCCAAGUGGGUAAAAGGUAAUUUUGGUAGGGGGAUCCAUGACCACUGACUCAAGAAACCCCCCUGACCCAAAAGAAGAGAGAAACUGAGCAUGUGGACUAAUGAGCAUGUGGACUAAUUAGCAUGCGGGCUAAUUAUGACGAGAAGCAAGAGAAUCAUUAACCAAUAGAAGACUAAUUAAUAAGAGAGCUAUGUAACUUGUAACCAAUGAACACUAAUUCCUUUGUUUACCAAAAUGUUUUAAUAGUCAAAAGUUUUGAUAACUGAUGUACAUAUUUUGUGGAGUGAUCCUCCUGUACCUCAGCGUUGAAUAAAG
Molecule: long non-coding RNA, 3092 nt
Organism: Lepidothrix coronata (blue-crowned manakin)
Lineage: Eukaryota; Metazoa; Chordata; Aves; Passeriformes; Pipridae
Exons: 3
Source: RefSeq, a predicted model, not a curated record